GAGAGCAGAAUUGGCCAUGAUGUAGUCAGCAUCUAAGGACUUGGACUGAAAUAAGACACAGAAAAUCUGGGGUGGUGGCGACUAUUGUGAGAAAUGGCAAUGGAACAGAGAUUUUUCCAAUAGAGAGAUGUGGUCUCCCAACAGGAAAGGCAUUUCCAACUCCUACAGAUGGAUGGAACACUGAAACUUCUAGUCAUAUAUCCCACGGGUCCAACUUCAAUGGCCACAUGUUUAAAUUCUUGGAUUUCCUUAUAAACUCCAAGGAAUGCUUCAGGAUGACACAGCAAGAUGGCCCUUCCAAGAUACUGGCCCUUCAAUCUUGAAUUUCUCAGCCUCAAAAUAUGUAAGCCAAUAAAUUUCAUGGAAUAAUAACAAAAACAAUAUCUACCACAGGCAGUUCUUAUUUUAUUGUGCAUCAUUUUAUUAAACUUUUCAGAUUUGCAUUUUUUACAAAUUGAAGGUGUGUGGCGGCAACCCUUCAUCAGGCAACUCUGUUGGCGGCAUUUUUCCAGCAGCUUGUGCUCACUUUGUGUUUCUGUGUCACAUUUUGGUAAC
Microcebus murinus (gray mouse lemur) is the source of this 555-nucleotide non-coding RNA. NCBI's taxonomy places the organism in Eukaryota, Metazoa, Chordata, Mammalia, Primates, Cheirogaleidae. The record is from RefSeq and is a predicted model, not a curated record.